GCCUCUGUGGUCCAGUGGUAGAGCGUUGGACUCCCGAUCCGGAGACCUCGGGUUCGAAUCCCGAUGGGGACA
RNAcentral lists this transfer RNA (72 nucleotides) under Pectinophora gossypiella (pink bollworm). RNAcentral's name for it is "transfer RNA glycine (anticodon CCC)". It matches the Rfam family "tRNA". Rfam says of the family: Transfer RNA (tRNA) molecules are approximately 80 nucleotides in length. Their secondary structure includes four short double-helical elements and three loops (D, anti-codon, and T loops). Lineage: Eukaryota; Metazoa; Arthropoda; Insecta; Lepidoptera; Gelechiidae. The record is from RNAcentral.